RNAcentral lists this unclassified non-coding RNA (3126 nucleotides) under Leishmania donovani. RNAcentral's name for it is "gene:LdHU3.17.1500(CDS-product:hypothetical_prote in_conserved)". The record is from RNAcentral. Lineage: Eukaryota; Euglenozoa; Kinetoplastea; Trypanosomatida; Trypanosomatidae.
AGGUCUUGCCGCUUACACCACGGAAGAGCGAAAAAGGAACACAGCCGUACGGCACCCCGAAGCAGGACACAGGAAGAAGCACGUAGCGUACACGCGCAGCGUCGUGUGAAACACACACACACACACACAUACAUCCGCCUUGCCUUCUCUGUCUCACGUCUCCGUCUUCUCUGUGGUCACCAUGCAGCCACCGCCGAAGCCACUUUGCGACCUCAACGAUACCUGGGAGGAUGUCCUGACCGCCUUCAACGACUGCCUGAAGGGGGAGUCGACCUGGAGCUGCCACUGCCUCGACGGCAUCGACAAGGAGGUCAUCCUCUCCGCACCGGAGAUCAUGGACCCCAAGACGGACUCUGGCUUUAACUGCGAGGAGAUUUACUCCCUUUCCCAUCUCCUGAAGACGGAAGAGGUGCCCUCGGCGGCUACCGUGUCCACGGAGGCGGCGCUGCUGGAUGUAAUGGACUACAUCCACGUCAAGGAGCUCACGUACCUGCAGGGGUACUCCCUCACACAGAGCUACCUGGACUUCCCCUACUUCCUGCGCAUGGAUCUUCUCAAGGAGCAGAACGGCACCCUGCACGCCUACUGCCGCGGCGUGCUGCGCUCCCUCGACUGCGUACUGCGCGCCGUCUUCUCCACUACGAACCGCAGCGAGGAGGAGUUCAUGCUGGUGCCCCCGGAGCUGGACCGUCAGCCCGACUGCAGCGUGGACGAGAUCCUGGCGGAGCUGGAGACAGCCGCGGCGAAGUCCUCGAGCCCCGCCGUGGCUGCCCGGCUGCGCUUCCGCAAGCACUUCCUCGCGACCCUGUCGCUGCUUCUGGACUCGAAGAAGAGGUCGGAUAUUGAGGCGGCGUGCGACAUCUGCCAAGAGGCCCUCGCGCUGCUGGAGAGCGGCCUCUACAUCCGCUCCAGCGAGCCGGCGCCGGAGGAGAAGCUGCUACGCGCGAAGGAGAUCGCCUACUGGGUCAGCGUCAUCACUCCGACCAAGGCGCUGCCCGCAACGUCCUUUGCCGAUGCCAUGUCCGCCUACAAGCGCCUGCUGCAGCAAUUGAUGUCGUUCAAGACGCUUGUGAACAUGGAGUCACUUGCCUGCAUUGCGGACUUCAUCGAGAACUUUGGCGCGCUGCAGCCGCUCCUGCCGGCGCGCUCGCUCUGCGCCGUCGUCCUGUUCAGCCGUGACCCCAACGAGUCGUUCCUUUACGGCGCCCCGCUGCAUCGCCGCACGCUGGAGACACUGACGAGGAGGUACGGCGCCCCGCUCUAUCAAAAAAUCUUCGAGGCCGACGAGGCCAUGGUUGACGGCGUCGUUGAGUACCGCGUAAAGUGCACGAUGAACCGCCUGAAGGUGACGCCGGAGCAGCGAAUGCUCCUGCGCCAGCAGACCAUCGACUCGGUGCGGCGCUGGGUCAUGGAGGUGAGCAAGCUGUAUCUCGUCUUCCUGGAGACGAUGCUGUGCAACCGCGGGCUGGCGCACCGGCGCAUGAUGAACACGAUGGCGGACUUCAUCCGCCUCCAGGAGCUGUCGUACACGACUGACCUCUCCGUCUUCCUCGCCAACAUGCCUGGUGUCUCGAAAGAGCUGGAGGCGGAGUGCAUCCGGUGCAGCACGGUACUGACGCUCUUCUCGAACGACUACGUGCUGCGCGCGAUGGAACUCAUUAUGAGCUUCGAGGUGGAGCUCGACCUGCUGACGCAGGGAGAGCUGGUACCGGCAAUAUGGUACAUCAACUUCGCGCAGCGCGCCCAGAAGGAAAACAUGACGGCGCUGUGCUUGCAGAGCACGAACUUUAUUCCCGCGACGCUGAUCAACAAGCGCACCCACAUUCCGGUGCACAACCUUGCCCUAACGACGCGCACGACGGGACAGACGGAUCUCGCCCGCGACGGCCUGCUCGACGCGUGCUGCUCCCUCUCCGACGCCACCUAUCUCUCUGCGUGCCUUAUGGAGAGGAAGAACCUCAUUGACCUCGCCAGUGCGCCGAAGGGCUCCCUCAUCAGUGUGGAGAACAUCUUCAACCACCGCCUGCUCCUCUGCUACGGCCAGCUGCGCAACCCGCCGCUGCGGUCGUACGAGCGCUGCAUGAGCGCGAAACCGUCGCUGGACGACGUGAGCAAGAUCCCGAUCUACGCCAAAAAGGCGGCCGAGGUGGCCAGCAACGCCGCCGAGAAGCUGAAGGCUGUCAUGUCGAGCAGCGCCGUUGACGAGGUACGCAAGGCUGCCAUUCGGCGCAAUGCGGAGGGGCUGGAGAAGACGGCGCACAUCGUGGCUGCCUCUCUCCGCGCCUUCUCGGCCGUUUGCGAGAACAGCGAGGAGCUGAAGGACUACUGCGCCGCAGUGGAGCGCCCCGGCUUGCCAAGCGCUCUGACCUUCACGUUCCGCAAGAGGAAGGAGACGGCCACUGCGUAGCUGCGAAGUUCGGAGCGUGUCCUAGUGGGUGCGUGCGUGGGUGCUUUAGUGCCAGUGUGGGCGUGUGCCAACUUCUCCAGCUUCCGUACCCCCUCCCUCCCUCCUUCCCUCGCUCGCUCUUUCCCUUGUUUAUGUUUUCGUGUUGUCGUUCUCUGGUGCUCACCGUGUGUCAUGUUACCUUAACUAAUCAAACGUCUCUCGGCCCUCGAGUGUGUGCUGUGUGCGCGCGCCGGGUGAGGAAAGAGGGUGUGCGGUGCGUGUGAUGUGUGUGCUGUGAUAUUGGGGCAGUGGCGGUCGGGAGGGUUUGGCGCUGUGCUUCACCCGUCUUAAGUGUUUGUGUUCUUGUAUUCGUUUUUUUUUCGUUAAGGAACAGCAACGUCACCACCAAUAGCAGCAGCAGUGGAAGCAGCGGCAGCAGCAGCCGAAUGCGGGCGAUCGUGUCGCGAGUCGGGCGACCAUGAAGAAGGAGGGGGCGGGGGGGGCGGGAAAGGGCGGGAGGGGCGCUGAAGGACUUCUCCCCCCUCCCUCCCUCCCUCCGUCCUUCCCGUUGUUUUCUUUUUCUGCAUCUCUUAAAGCUGAAACGAGAAAAAGUGUGUGCCGGGAGAGCCAUCACAGAAACACACACACACUUACACACAGAGCGUAUGUGCGGAGUCAGGCGUACCUCAUCCUAUCGCUGCUCCGCCCCGCCUUUGCCUCUCUCUGUCUCCCGGUUCGCG